AUUCGACAAUCCGCGCUUAACCUUACCUAACUUAGUAACAAUAAAAUGAUAAUGAAACUAUUGUUUCAGAAGAUGCAUGGCUGUCUCCAGUUCGUAAUGUGAAUUGUAGGAUUAAGUUCUUCUAACGAACGCGACCCCUAUGAAAUAUUAAGUUUUAUUUCAUACUGACAGUGAAAGCUGUAGGAAGGAGGGGACCACGUCAAGUCUUUAUGUCUUUUAUAGUUAGGGCUACACAUGUGUUAUAAUGGCAACUACAACGUGAAAUAUAUUAGCGAUAAUAUAUAAAUCAUUAAAAGUUGUCUUGUUCGGAUAGAAAAAUGAAAUCCUUUUUCUUGAAGACAGAUUGAGAUGUAAUCGGAGA
Molecule: ribosomal RNA, 361 nt
Filed under: Ochromonas sp. CCMP1393
Lineage: Eukaryota; Chrysophyceae; Chromulinales; Chromulinaceae
Description: partial Bacterial small subunit ribosomal RNA
Rfam family: Bacterial small subunit ribosomal RNA
Source: RNAcentral